Molecule: ribosomal RNA, 493 nt
Filed under: uncultured bacterium
Lineage: Bacteria
Description: partial 16S ribosomal RNA
Rfam family: Bacterial small subunit ribosomal RNA
Source: RNAcentral
ACGAACGCUGGCGGCGUGCUUAACACAUGCAAGUCGAACGGUGAAGCGCCUUCCUUUUUGGUGGGUGUGGAUGAGUGGCGAACGGGUGAGUAACACGUGAGUAACCUGCCCCCUUCUUCUGGAUAACCGCAUGAAAGUGUGGCUAAUACGGGAUAUUCUGGGUCUGUCGCAUGAUGGGUCUGGGAAAGAUAUUGUUUCGGUGGGGGAUGGGCUCGCGGCCUAUCAGCUUGUUGGUGGGGUGAUGGCCUACCAAGGCGGUGACGGGCAGCCGGCCUGAGAGGGUGGACGGUCACACUGGGACUGAGACACGGCCCAGACUCCUACGGGGGGCAGCAGUGGGGAAUAUUGCACAAUGGGCGCAAGCCUGAUGCAGCGACGCCGCGUGAGGGAUGGAGGCCUUCGGGUUGUGAACCUCUUUCGCCAGUGAAGCAGGCCUGCCUCGUUUGUGGGUGGGUUGACGGUAGCUGGAUAAGAAGCGCCGGCUAACUACGUG